AUUCCUACGGGGGGCAGCAGUAGGGAAUUUUCGUCAAUGGGCGCAAGCCUGAACGAGCGAUGCCGCGUGAGUGAGGAAGGCCUUCGGGUCGUAAAGCUCUGUUGCGGGGGAAAAAAGGCAGCAUCAGGAAAUGGGUGCUGACUGAUGGUGCCCCGCCAGAAGGUCACGGCUAACUACGUGCCAGCAGCCGCGGUAAUACGUAGGUGGCGAGCGUUAUCCGGAAUGAUUGGGCGUAAGGGGUGCGCAGGCGGUCCUGCAUGUCUGGAGUGAAACGCAUGGGCUCACCUCAUGCA
This 293-nucleotide ribosomal RNA is filed under the name uncultured bacterium. Its description in RNAcentral is "partial 16S ribosomal RNA". It matches the Rfam family "Bacterial small subunit ribosomal RNA", at positions 335 to 620 of the family's 1533-position model. The record is from RNAcentral.